Molecule: ribosomal RNA, 373 nt
Filed under: uncultured bacterium
Lineage: Bacteria
Description: bacterial SSU rRNA
Rfam family: Bacterial small subunit ribosomal RNA
Source: RNAcentral
AUUGAACGCUGGCGGCAUGCCUUACACAUGCAAGUCGAACGGCAGCACGGGGGCAACCCUGGUGGCGGGUGGCGAACGGGUGAGUAAUGCAUCGGAACGUGCCCCGUAGCGGGGGAUAACCAGUCGAAAGACUGGCUAAUACCGCAUACGCUCCACGGAGGAAAGCAGGGGAUCGCAAGACCUUGCACUAUGGGAGCGGCCGAUGCCCGAUUAGCUAGUUGGUGAGGAAAGGCUCACCAAGGCGACGAUCGGUAGCUGGUUUGAGAGAACGACCAGCCACACUGGGACUGAGACACGGCCCAGACUCCUACGGGAGGCAGCAGUGGGGAAUUUUGGACAAUGGGCGCAAGCCUGAUCCAGCCAUGCCGCGUGC